AGUGAACGCUGGCGGUAGGCCUAACACAUGCAAGUCGAACGGUAGCACAGUAAGAGCUUGCUCUUACGGGUGGCGAGUGGCGGACGGGUGAGGAAUACAUCGGAAUCUACUUUUUCGUGGGGGAUAACGUAGGGAAACUUACGCUAAUACCGCAUACGACCUACGGGUGAAAGCAGGGGAUCUUCGGACCUUGCGCGAUUGAAUGAGCCGAUGUCGGAUUAGCUAGUUGGCGGGGUAAAGGCCCACCAAGGCGACGAUCCGUAGCUGGUCUGAGGGGAUGAUCAGCCACACUGGAACUGAGACACGGUCCAGACUCCUACGGGAGGCAGCAGUGGGGAAUAUUGGACAAUGGGCGCAAGCCUGAUCCAGCCAUACCGCGUGGGUGAAGAAGGCCUUCGGGUUGUAAAGCCCUUUUGUUGGGAAAGAAAAGCAGCAGGUUAAUACCCCGCUGUUCUGACGGUACCCAAAGAAUGAGCACCGGCUAACUUCGUG
This 492-nucleotide ribosomal RNA is filed under the name uncultured bacterium. RNAcentral describes it as "partial 16S ribosomal RNA". It matches the Rfam family "Bacterial small subunit ribosomal RNA", at positions 29 to 507 of the family's 1533-position model. The record is from RNAcentral.